UUUACGGUCGGACUUUGCCGUCACAUGACAGAAUCGAAUCAACCUGUAAAGCUCCGAGUGCUUUUAUUCCCGCACACUGCCAACGAAUGAAGGUCGGCAAUGUCGAAAUUACAGAAUAUGUGUGACGUGAGAGGUCGCGGGUUAGAAUCUGGACAGGCCGCCUGCACUGUUAAAGGACGCGGUUAUCUCUUACCUGUCUCAUAACGUUGCCGGCGGCGGCAUAUGUCGGCGGAUACUGCCGGUAUUUCGAAAACCGGGCGGAGUACAAAAUAAAUAACUAAAUUUUGACUACCUUUAUGGAUUUUUAUUCUUAAAACUGAAUGAUUGAUUGAAUGUCACAUACUGGUAGGAGAAGAAGACAGCAGAGCAAACCCUCGGGAAAACAUUAAAAAUUGAUGAGCUCAAAAGUAAGGGGAAGACUGAAAUGGCGCCCGGAAGGGCAACGCUGCACGUCUCUGGUUUGAGUCGCGGCGGAUCUAAUGCUGGAGCUACAUUGUGCAAGAGGUUUUCUUCUUGUUGUUUUUCAUUUUCUUCUUCUUGACAGCUGAAGAAUAGUUAGGAGUACAGUGUAGGAGCUUGAAGGUUUGAGCACCAGCGUCAGGGUCACAUUGCGAGGAAGCUCGCCAGUAGCGGGCAUGGCGAUAAUACGGCUCCCCUUUAUGAUCACUGUUUUCUUGUUCUUGGCUCGUGGACACGCCGCCGCCUCGUCGAGCGACGUUUCGGCGCUUGUGGAGCUGACUAAGGGCAUGCGAGGGUUUGCGCUGCAGUCUUGGAAGGUUGCGUCUGUGGACUCCAAUGGCUGCCCUGUAAACUGGGAUGGGAUCCAGUGCUCUGGGGGGCUCGUCACCGGCAUUAACCUUGCCAACCGUAAUCUUACAGGUGAAAUUAAGCUGGGAGCUCUUGGAGGCAUGAAAAUGCUGUCCAAUUUGUCCUUUUCCAACAAUAAAUUAUCAGGUAAGCUGGAUGCGCAGCUGCAUUCACUUUCAUCUCUUCAGUACUUUGAUAUUUCAAACAAUUUAUUCAAUGGAAGAAUCCCCAGUGCCAUUGUUGCCCUUGAACGCCUAGUUUAUCUUAACUUGUCAUCAAAUAAGCUGUCUGAAAAGAUACCAGAUGGUUUGGGAAAGCUCAGGGAGCUGCGUUGGAUCGAUUUACAUUCAAAUCAGUUAUCUGGUAUCAUUGAUAAUGGUGUCAUGGGGCUGCAAAAUUUGGAGCACAUUGAUUUCAGCGAUAACCAGUUCUCUGGAACCCUUUCACAGAUGUUGUCCCAUGAAUCUGGACUCAGCCAGCUUCAGUAUCUAAAUCUCAGCAAUAAUCAGCUUGUUGGAAGCUUGCUUGAUUAUCAUUCAAGUUCUUUUGCGAACCUGAGAGUUCUUGAUGUCAGCAACAAUCAGCUAUCAGGAAAGCUUCCUUCGUUCGAAUUUGCUUAUGGCCUUGAGACGUUACGGCUUGGUGGUAAUAAAUUUUCUGGUAAUUUGCCAGAUGCACUUUUUGUAGACGAUACUUUGGCUUUAAAGGAACUGGAUCUCAGCCACAACAGCCUUUCAGGUUUCAUGAUGAAUACGAUCACAUCAAAAUCCCUUAACAUUCUCAAUCUUUCUUCAAAUCUUCUAUCUGGUCCAUUGCCACAAAAAUUUGGUAGCUGUGCAGUUGUGGAUUUGAGCAAUAACAAUCUAUCUGGGAGUUUGUCUCUGAUGUGGGGGAAUGACUUGGAAAUGAUUGAUCUGAGUCAGAAUUCAUUUACUGGGUCCUUGCCUAAUGAUACUUCGACAUUUUUAAGAUUGACCUAUCUGAAUUUAUCACACAAUGCCCUAGUGGGUCCUCUUCCUCUUGUGCUAGGGACAUAUUCUAGGAUUAGAACUAUUGACCUUGGCUUCAACCUGCUAAAUGGGCCUCUUUUGACGAACCUUUUUACCUCACCUACCUUGGCACAUUUACACUUGUCUAGAAACAACUUUACAGGGAGAAUACCUCUACAGAAUGUUCAACCAAUUAGUCCUGUAACAUUACUGGCAGUGGUAAACUAUUCACCCUUGGAAUCACUUGAUCUUUCAAACAACCAACUGAAUAGUUUCAUUCCCCGAGAAAUUGGUGACAUCGAUAGUCUCAGGUCACUGAAUCUGGCAGGAAAUCAAUUUUCAGGUAGUAUACCAAGGGAAGUCAGUAAGCUUUAUGCUUUGACGAAUCUUAACCUUUGUUGCAACCAAUUAACAGGGAAAAUACCAAACAAGCUUUCUGCCAAUUUAAAAGCAUUGAAUCUAUCUUAUAAUGACUUGUCAGGUUAUGUUCCAGAAAACUUGAGAAAGUUCCCAUAUUCCUCAUUUUAUCCAGGCAAUGUUCAUUUGAUUUUUCCUUCUGUUUCUGGUUCACAUGGUAGGGGACCUGAGAUCAAUGGGAAGGGGAGACAUGAGAAGGGCCUCGGAGCAGAUGUUAAAGCAAUAAUAAUUGGAGUGUGUACUGCUGGAUCUGCGCUACUUGUUGCCCUUGCUCUGUUUCUGUACUACAGAAGAAAUUCACCCACGCAACACUUUAGUAGAUAUGUUGACUUUGGCGAGAAAGUUGAUACAAAAGACAGAAACAGAGGACAACCUUCUAGUGCUGGGUAUUAUGAAUUUCAUAAAGAUGUGGAUCCUUCACCUCCAGUGCCCUUGAAAUUUUCAGCAGAUAAUUUGCUAGUUCCUGAUAAGAGGCUUACAUCUGCUGUGCCCAAAGGACUCACCACUGAGGCUGCAGUACAAGAAACUUCAGAUGUUAAAGCCAAGGGUCUUGAUUCUGUGAAGACUAGUAGCACUGCAGAUAUUUCAUCUUCAAAUAAUAAGAAAAGGUCUUUACCUGGAUCACAGAGUUACUUAUCAUCACCUCCACAGUCUGAUGAUUCAUUCACUUCAGAGCACCCAGUUAUCUUGAAUGUUCAAUCACCUGAUCGGUUGGCUGGGGAUCUCUUCUUUCUGGAUAAUACAUUAUCAUUCACAGCUGAGGAGCUGUCUCGUGCGCCUGCUGAGGUUUUGGGGAGAAGCAGUCAUGGUACCUCCUAUAAAGCCACUCUAGACAAUGGACAUGUUUUGAGAGUGAAGUGGCUGAGGGAGGGCUUGGCUAAGCACAGAAAGGAAUUUGCAAGGGAAGCAAAGAAGUUUGCGAACAUUAGGCAUCCAAACCUAGUUUCUUUAAGGGGUUAUUAUUGGGGACAACGGGAGCAUGAAAAACUCAUUUUAUCAGACUAUAUGAGUGCAGAAAAUCUAGCUAGUCAUAUCUAUGAAAAGCCAGGUGGGAAGAUCUCACCUCUGGACUGGACUCAGCGACUAAAAAUUGCUGUAGACCUUGCCCGUGGUUUGAAUUAUCUACAUUAUGAAGUAUGCUUAUCACAUGGCAAUUUGAAAGCAACAAAUGUUCUUCUAGAUGGUCCUGAUCUUAAUGGAAAGCAUGCUGAUUAUAGUCUUCAUCUACUGAUGACAUCAGCUGGGACAACAGAACAGAUAUUGAAUGCGGGUGCUCUUGGAUAUCGAGCACCAGAGUUGGCUACUGCCAAGAAACCAAAGCCAUCAUUUAAGGCUGAUGUAUAUGCUUUUGGUGUGAUUUUGAUGGAGAUUUUAACUGGGAAAAGUGCAGGGGAUAUCAUAUCUGCAAAUUCAGGGGUUGUUGACCUUACAGAUUGGGUAAGAAUACUGGCAACAGAAGGGCGGGCAGUAGAUUGCUUUGAUCGUAGUCUCCUUUCUAGUGACGGGGACCAGGAACCUCCCAAAGGAAUGGAUGAUAUGCUUGCCAUAGCUCUAAAAUGCAUUCGAUCUGCAUCAGAAAGGCCUACAAUCAGAACUGUGUUUGAUGAUCUUACAGCAAUAGUGGUUUGAAAUCUCACAACUUGUGAGGCUUUUGUUGAAUUGAUCCCUUGUAAAUGUAUUGUUGAAAGUACAAGAGUGAUUCUGCUUUCCAUGACUUGCAAGUGUGGAUUCUUAAGAAAAUCAAAGAAGCAAAUGUUCAUGUUAUAAUGUAGUGGCAGAAACUAUCCCAGCAUUUUGUUCUGAAAAUAUUAGUUCUUGCUGAUUCUAUCUUCGUCAUUGCAGAACUGUUUGUCUUCAUUUAAGUGUGGUUAUAUGAAUCAGGUGUUUCUUUUCUCUACCUCAAGCUUUGGCUUGUGCAUGCAAGUUGUGGCAUUCGGAGCUUGAUAACAACUGUUUAUUUGAUCAAAUAAAUCAGCAAUUAAAUUAUUUCCAUUUUUUGACAUUUGGUUAUAGGAUCAAAUUAUUACUUUUGAGGGUUUGCAUCUAUUUACCCAUGGAAAUGAGGCAGACAUGGAUUCCAGUAAGUUUUAUGGAAGAUGAAUCAAUGUCAGAUGGUGCAGUUAGAAUAACCAUUAACUGGGAAGCUUCUAAGUUAUGUCAGAACUAUAUUUGCUGAAAACUGAGAUACCUAAAAGAAAGAAUAUGUGCGAAGGGAGUUGAGGAUGGAAUGCACUUGGGAUAAUGAGGAAUACAUUCAAGAGAGGAAGGCUCCAAUAAACAGCACAGGUAUGUAUGGAAAGUAUGUGACACAAGACGCUCACCUAAGAAGUAUUGGAUGGACGUUUCAGUUAAAGGUAUUCAGAAACAAGUAAAAUAUAUCAGGCAAUUAUUAAGAAAACUAUUACAGCGGUGCCUAUAAAUGACUAAAGUCAGUCAACAGGAUGGAAGCAUACAAGCAGCUGUGAUACUCACCUAAGAAGUCUUGGAUGGACAUCUCACUUAAAGGUAUUCAGAAACAAGUAAAAUAGAUCAGGCAAUGAUUGAGAAAGAUAUUACAGCAGUGCCUAUAAAUGACCAAAGUCAGUCAACAGGAUGGAAGCAUACAAGAAGUUUUGACACUCACCUAUGAAGUCUUGGAUGGACAAUUCACUCAAAGGUAUUCAGAAACAGGUAAAAUAGAUCAGGCAAUGAUUAAGAAAGAUACUACAGAAGUGCCUAUAAAUGACCAAAGUCAGUCAACAGAAUGGAAGCAUACAACAAGUUGCUAAUCCUAGUCAGGACUGCUAAAUGAAAUUUCAACAAAAAUGUACAAAACAAUUGAAGUUAAAUAAGAAACAAUAGAUAUGGCUUUAUUCA
RNA transcript from Cryptomeria japonica (Japanese cedar), 5069 nucleotides. It is a transcript of the gene named LRR receptor-like serine/threonine-protein kinase GHR1, with no coding region annotated. The transcript is spliced from 7 exons. The record is from RefSeq and is a predicted model, not a curated record. Lineage: Eukaryota; Viridiplantae; Streptophyta; Pinopsida; Cupressales; Cupressaceae.